This 468-nucleotide ribosomal RNA is filed under the name uncultured bacterium. RNAcentral describes it as "partial 16S ribosomal RNA". It matches the Rfam family "Bacterial small subunit ribosomal RNA", at positions 28 to 507 of the family's 1533-position model. The record is from RNAcentral.
GACGAACGCUGGCGGCGUGCUUAACACAUGCAAGUCGAACGGUGAUGCUCCAGCUUGCUGGAGUGGAUCAGUGGCGAACGGGUGAGUAACACGUGAGCAACCUGCCCCAGACUCUGGAAUAAGCGCUGGAAACGGCGUCUAAUACUGGAUACGAAACUGGCCCGCAUGGGCAUGGUUUGGAAAGUUUUUCGGUUUGGGAUGGGCUCGCGGCCUAUCAGCUUGUUGGUGAGGUAAUGGCUCACCAAGGCGACGACGGGUAGCCGGCCUGAGAGGGCGACCGGCCACACUGGGACUGAGACACGGCCCAGACUCCUACGGGAGGCAGCAGUGGGGAAUAUUGCACAAUGGGCGAAAGCCUGAUGCAGCGACGCCGCGUGGGGGAUGACGGCCUUCGGGUUGUAAACCUCCUUCAGCAGGGAAGAAGCGAAAGUGACGGUACCUGCAGAAGAAGCACCGGCUAACUACGUG